Cylas formicarius (sweet potato weevil) is the source of this 3875-nucleotide long non-coding RNA. RefSeq lists it as uncharacterized. The transcript is spliced from 3 exons. Lineage: Eukaryota; Metazoa; Arthropoda; Insecta; Coleoptera; Brentidae. The record is from RefSeq and is a predicted model, not a curated record.
UAUGCAAUACGUUCGGUAAACUAUUUAAGUCAUUUAUUAAACACUCGCUCCGCUUGUGUCAAAUAAACUCUUGACUCAAAUGCCGUUUAUCACACUUUUUGCUUAAUAUACUAUUAAAGGUCUUAUUAUCAAACAAUAACUAUGCAGGCUUUUUAAUUUUUCAUAGAAACUUCCACAGGCGACUGUAAUCGCUAUUGGGCGAUAAUUUUCUGCGGUAUGCCUGUCCGUUUUAAAGAUAACACAACAAAUACAAUUCCUGUUCAUUAAAGAGUUUUUAGAGAUUUCUCUUUUCAUGAAAUCUUACAUGUUAUGCACAAAAUGAAGAAUAAAGUUUCAAGUGAGGUCUAUUAACUAAAAUUAUAUUAAUAAAGAGAAUAUUAAUUUUAACCUUAAGCAAAUUAAUAAUUAUGAUGAUUCUUCCGGGUGCACUCAAAAUGAUCAAACAAACACCUUGGAAAUUUAUGAAAAUAUUCUAAAAACAAGCAUUUAUACUAUAGCUAUAUUAUAAUAUACUUAUACCUAUACUACACAGUAUAUUUUAAUAGAUUGCGUGUGUUCUGUUUUGGUAUUUAUUUACUACAACAAUGCGAGAAUAUUGUACAAAUUUUAAAAUCGUCUUAAUUUAUUUCCCAGUAUCUUUUCGGCAUCCACGUCACCUAAUUUGUUUCGUACGGUAAACAAAUUAUCGUACAACAGACAUACGUUCCCAGAGCAGACGAGUCACUACAAAACGAACACUAAUUAACUGAGUGUGAUUUUAUUGUUAUUUGGUGUAAUUUAUCGCUAACUAUUUAGUACCCGCGCAUCUGCUUCUCGAUCAUAAAUUUCCCGGCCACGCACCAAGCUAAAAAAAAACUUAUUUAGCUAACGCAAUUAAUAUUAGCACCCCGGUCGCAGUUGGCACUGUUCAACUUUACGAGUCGACACCUGUUCAUCGUACCGCUUCCAUAUUUUCUCGGUUUCAAUCGCUCGCAACAUUUUUGCAAUUAUAUUUACGAUCCUCGUUUAGUCCAUAAAUAGUGGUGGCGGAGCGUGAAUCACACCCAGCGAUUUUUUUCUUCGCGUUGCGACGACGAUAUUCGGCAUAAAAAACAGCGCGAAGGCUAAAGAUGUCGGACCGUCUGUUUUCUACAUAUUAGUGCAAGAAAUAAACGAUGGGCGUUGCUGUUUUAUUCCGAAUAACAUUCCUAUACUUAUUAUUAUCAAGCGGAGAGAGAUAUCAACUCGGCGUCAGACCACUAACCCGGGAGACAUCAACGAUCGAUCACACCACAAACCCCGCGACCGGUACCAUUCGAUGGCGAGCAAAAGAAAAUCGCCCACCCUUCAAGUACGUCCUGGUACUGCGCGCACGUGGUUCAAGGCUAUACGAAGCAUCCGGACGUGGUGCUGCCCGAUCGACGGUCUGCGGUACACUGGCUGUACGAAGGUACCGCUGGUAAUGUUCGGACCACGCCACAGAAGAUCUGCUCCAGUUCUGGGCAGCUCGAGAUCGAAAGUGUUCUUCGCAAAAGGCGGCUGAUGGACCUCGUCCGAGAGGAACCGACGGAGACGUUGGAAGUACCACCGCCGUCGCUUUAGUCGGCGGCAGUGUCGGUUUUGCGUCGCUCGUUCGCGACGAGGUUUGUUUUUUUUUUCGUAUUUUGAAUCGCACGGCACGAUUGCGACAGAUUAACGUCAAUUAACAAACGAAAUUAGUUUUCCAGUGUCGCAAGACGGUUUUAUUCAAAUGCGUUUUCCGUCUGACUAGGAAAGUGUCGCUGUCGCAUCGUAAUUCAUGGGUUUACCGUUUUAAGUUACCCGGAUUAAAAAAAUCCUAUUAUUACUCUAUCUAUCUAUCUCUCUUUAUGUCUGCCUGUCGCACGAGCCUGUUUUUUAUAGAGCAACGGUAGAAAAACUCCUUAAAAACAGCUGAUAAAACUAGCAUUACGCUUUCUUUUCCUUAUGUCGCUUUCCGCUUGAACGCAUUGUUAUCGGUGAACAGGGUGUAAAAAGCUUAUAAAACGGAUAUUUAUUAACACCUUCGGUGUAUAUUGAAUUGUCUUUUUGAAAUUUGAUGAGAAAUUUAACAAAAGCGCGUAGUAAUGUAAAGGAAAGAAAAAUUCAUUUUUGCCGGUGUCAAAUGACUUGAAUUGGACUUAUUUUAAUUUUGAUUUCAAGCUUUUUUGUGCGAAAUAUUUUUGCUUCCCUGUGUAUGUGUCACACAAAUUCAUUUCUUUUAAAUUUUUUGUUUGAUUCAGUUAAAUCAUACUUUAAAUUAUCAAAAAAAAUGCUGUUGUAUACGUACAUUUUCAUUUUAAACUUUGUACAUUAUUAAAAGCUUUUUCCUUACAAAGAACAAUACUUCCUUUAUUAUUUUUCCUACACCAUUGAAGAGCAAACAAAAUUUUUCUGUUAAACGCUCAAGCUCUAACGCCCCAUUCAUUUUCUUAGUACCUGAGUCAAGCUUGCUUGAUAUAUUUUUAACGUUAUCAGUGGGGAUAUAGUUGUUGUUGCUUUAGUUAGUAAUUCUUAUUUUUCGACCCUAGUGGCUUGGAGUUGUCAAGGCAAAAACCACGGAUGAAUUAAGAACGAUGUAGUCGGACAGGCGGAAAAAAUGUGUUACGUCACUUUGCUGCUACAGGAAUGAUUUUGUUCAUAUUCAACUCUCGCAUUAACUUCACCAUGUAAUUUUAGUAAUUGCUAAGCUCGCGUACGAUUGUCGACAUGUCGAUAUGUACAUUCUAAACGAAAUCGAUAUCGAUUUUUGACCGAAAAAUGUCGACGAAUGACUGAUUGGCUAAAUCGUUAUAACGGCUCGCUGCAACGAUUGUCCUUGCUCGACAAUAUCGCGUGAGUUUAUUUCCUGUACAAACCAUUAGUUCAGAUAAAGAGAUAAGGAGCGAUUUUAUAGAUUUAUCGGCAUAUUAAAAACACCGUUGCGCAAGAUUUAGGUGUUCGUUGGAUCUGUAAUUUGUAGCGAGACGGAGGACAGUUUAAUUAGAUUAAUUGCAAGGUAAUUAAUUUGAAAAACAGUAUGUAAUGGUUUCUGUUUUGUUUUUUUUUUUACCGCUUAAUCGUGGCUUUUAAAUACGCAAUUGGUUUUACGAUGAUACAUGGCUUUAACGUAAUUGUUGACUAUUAAUUUUGGGGAGUAAGUGGCGGCAUUUUUCACUUUGUAAAGUGCCGUUUUUAGAAAAUAAAAAUGCACAAUUUAUGCGUCGCGUCCACCGUUUAUAUGAAAAAUAUUUGACACGCUUCAAUUAAUAAUUUAAUGGUUCCGUUAUUACGCGUAAACAUAUAGAUUCGAUUUUGAGUACGAAUUAAUUUUCAAGAGUUUGUAAUAACUUUUGAGGUAAAAUGUUCGUUCGUGGAGUUAAUUAAAACGUUUAGUAGUUUCGUAUGUUAAAUAAAAAAACGUAUUACCGCAUAGUUAUUGGUUUUAAGUGAAGCAUAUACACGGUGUUUAAUAAAGGCCCAGCAACAUUUAAGGGGAUGGUUCUUCAGGUCAUUUUAUGAAAUAAGUUUAAAUAAAUGUAGCUCCAGAAAUGCCUUUUUUAAUAUACAGGGUGUUAAAUUAUUUGUAUAUUAUAUGUAGAGGACCUAAGAAAUCGAAUUAUUCCUGGGUGCAACUCAAUCAGGAACGACCCUGGACCCUGGAUUACUUUGUAGCACAUGAUCGGAAAAUGUCUUCAGGAGAUACAAGAUGGAGAUGCGUCAAAGGCAAAUUCGCAUGGCGAAUCAUGCAGCAGUGUUAUAACGAGUUUGAAUGAGAACCACCAGAAAUUUUUGUGUGAUUUCAGCAUUGUUUGUAUGGAUGGUACUUGUAAUUAUUGCACCAAAUAUUUUAAUCAAUAGAAAGUGUUAAAAUAGUAUUUGUAUUUUGUAUUCAAUAA